UAAUAUCAGAACAUCAGACAUGUUAAUAUGUGUUGUAGUGGUUUAAUAAUAUCAGAACAUCGGACAUGUUAAUAUGUGUUGUAGUGGUUUAAUAAUAUCAGAACAUCAGACAUGUUAAUAUGUGUUGUAGUGGUUUAAUAAUAUCAGAAUAUCAGACAUGUUAAUAUGUGGAUGGGCAUUACUCUGGAUCAGAAGGUUGGGUUUUGGUUGGGGAGAUGGAUGGGCAUUACUCUGGAUCAGAAGGUUGGGUUUUGGUUGGGGAGGUUGAUGGGCAUUACUCUGGAUCAGAAGGUUGGGUUUUGGUUGGGGAGGUGGAUGGGCAUUACUCUGGAUCAGAAGGUUGGGUUUUGGUUGGGGAGGUGGAUGGGCAUUACUCUGGAUCAGAAGGUUGGGUUUUGGUUGGGGAGGUGGAUGGGCAUUACUCUGGAUCAGAAGGUUGGGUUUUGGUUGGGGAGGUUGAUGGGCAUUACUCUGGAUCAGAAGGUUGGGUUUUGGGUUGGGGAGAUGGAUGGGCAUUACUCUGGAUCAGAAGGUUGGGUUUUGGUUGGGGAGGUGGAUGGGCAUUACUCUGGAUCAGAAGGUUGGGUUUUGGUUGGGGAGGUGGAUGGGCAUUACUCUGGAUCAGAAGGUUGGGUUUUGUUGGGGAGGUGGAUGGGCAUUACUCUGGAUCAGAAGGUUGGGUUUUGGUUGGGGAGGUGGGAUGGGCAUUACUCUGGAUCAGAAGGUUGGGUUUUGGUUGGGGAGGUUGAUGGGCAUUACUCUGGAUCAGAAGGUUGGGUUUUGGUUGGGGAGGUUGAUGGGCAUUACUCUGGAUCAGAAGGUUGGGUUUUGGUUGGGGAGGUGGAUGGGCAUUACUCUGGAUCAGAAGGUUGGGUGUCUGAUCCCAGUAUUUUUU
RNAcentral lists this long non-coding RNA (895 nucleotides) under Salmo salar (Atlantic salmon). RNAcentral describes it as "lncRNA (ENSSSAG00000092138.1)". The record is from RNAcentral. Lineage: Eukaryota; Metazoa; Chordata; Actinopteri; Salmoniformes; Salmonidae.